CUGACAGUUUAUCCAGCAGCCCCAUUCAACUCAGUCAGUCCUACACAUCACCCUAUGAAUGCUCCGAUUACCAGGACUAAAACAUGCUUGGUUUUAUUUAGAGAUUGUGGCGCUCCAUGCAGUGACGACUGAACAGCAACAAGCUGAGAUGCCGCCUGUGCCUCCCAGCUUGCAGCAGAAGUGGCAACAGUGGAGGAUGAAUGUCCCAUAACAAGAAGAUACAGAAAAAGACGAAGCUUAUCGACUAUGGUGUCGCCACGGACUACAAAGGUGGACGCGUGCAAUUUUUCAGGAUUUAUGCAGAUCCCAAAUACAGAUCAGUAGGUACCAUAAGGGCAAGGUCACUUUAAUCGGAGCCAAAAUGGACGCCACAAGUACCCUGGUUUCGCCGAGCCAAUCGGCAAAGAAAGUGCAGCAUCAGCUGGUGCAGCACCACGGGGCAGCCCAUGGGCGCUGGAAGCCGGUAGCCCUCCUCAAUGGACAGAAUCACCUGCGCACAGAGGGAGGGCAACAUAAAGCCACAACAUUCGUCACAAGCACAAGAAAUAGGUGAGAUUGUUUUCAUUUCAUGUAUAAUGACGCUGAAAUCUAAAAUCUGGCAAGUACGAGGUGGCUUAAAAUGCAGAUAACGGGAGCACGCUAUUCCGCCCAUAAAACAAAACAAAAAACAUCCAAAAAGUGGCAACAAUACUCCAUUUACAUCUCCUGACCUGAUUAUUAACUAAGUAUUUGCAAUUUUUUUUGCGGCGUUGUGAUCACAUAGAGAUAACUGGCUAAUAGAGGUAUGGGAAAAAAAUCUGUUUUUGAACGGCUCGAGAUUGGUAACAAUUCUUAAUUUACUCAAAAUUUGUAUUUAUUUUUUAAAAUGUAUAUUUUAAUUUUAUAAUCAGUCCAAAAUAAAACAUAAUAAUACAAUAAUGCAUAGUACAAUUCCAAACCAAUCCCAGCCCAGCAACACUCCGAUUAGCAAUCAACAGAGCAAUUGAGGAAACACACAAACAUGACAGAAAAAAUCAAAGUCAAACAAAAGUACAUAACAGUAUUAAUAUUGAUAAGAAGCGAUAAAAAAACAAACAUAAAUAUUAAUAUAUUGAAUUUUUAUUUUUUUUAUCGAUUUGUUAGAAUUCUUAUUAAUAUUAUUAUAUUAUUACUGUUGAUAUUUAUUUUUGUUUGCCUUUUGUUGAGUCUAUAUAAAUAUCAAAUAAAUAAAU
Nerophis ophidion (straightnose pipefish) is the source of this 1211-nucleotide long non-coding RNA. RefSeq lists it as uncharacterized. The record is from RefSeq and is a predicted model, not a curated record. The transcript is spliced from 4 exons. Lineage: Eukaryota; Metazoa; Chordata; Actinopteri; Syngnathiformes; Syngnathidae.